GACGAGGGAUCCUAGCGUUGUUCGGAAUUAUUGGGCGUAAAGCGGGUGUAGGUGGCUUUGUAAGUCAGGUGUGAAAGCCCAGGGCUCAACCCUGGAAGUGCAUUUGAUACUGCGAAGCUUGAGUGUAGGAGAGGUUACUAGAAUUCUUGGUGUAGUGGUGAAAUACGUAGAUAUCAAGAGGAAUACCGGUGGCGAAGGCGGGUAACUGGCCUAACACUGACACUCAG
RNAcentral lists this ribosomal RNA (227 nucleotides) under uncultured bacterium. Its description in RNAcentral is "partial 16S ribosomal RNA". It matches the Rfam family "Bacterial small subunit ribosomal RNA", at positions 524 to 750 of the family's 1533-position model. The record is from RNAcentral.